CACCGGCGGCUCGAGGGGUAACCGCUGUUAUUGGGUCUAAAGGGUGUGUAGCCUGCCGGCUAAGUCUCUUGGGAAAUCUGGCAUCUCAAGUGUCAGGCUGCCAGGGGAUACUGGUCGGCUUGGGACCGUGAGAGGUGAGAGGUACCUCAGGGGUAGGGGUGAAAUCUUGAAAUCCUUGAGGGACCACCAGUGGCGAAGGCGUCUCACCAGAACGGAGCCGACGGCAAGGGACUAAAGCUAGGGGCACGAACCGC
Molecule: ribosomal RNA, 254 nt
Filed under: uncultured archaeon
Lineage: Archaea
Description: partial 16S ribosomal RNA
Rfam family: Archaeal small subunit ribosomal RNA
Source: RNAcentral